GGCCAUAGCUCGGUGGUAGAACAUUUGCUUUACACUCAGAAGGUUCAAGGUUCAAUCCCUGGGAGUGUCC
Non-coding RNA from Podarcis lilfordi (Lilford's wall lizard), 70 nucleotides. NCBI's taxonomy places the organism in Eukaryota, Metazoa, Chordata, Lepidosauria, Squamata, Lacertidae. The record is from the annotation of a GenBank genome assembly.